Molecule: ribosomal RNA, 486 nt
Filed under: Bacillus amyloliquefaciens
Lineage: Bacteria; Bacillati; Bacillota; Bacilli; Caryophanales; Bacillaceae
Description: bacterial SSU rRNA
Rfam family: Bacterial small subunit ribosomal RNA
Source: RNAcentral
ACGCCGCGUGAGUGAUGAAGGUUUUCGGAUCGUAAAGCUCUGUUGUUAGGGAAGAACAAGUACCGUUCGAAUAGGGCGGUACCUUGACGGUACCUAACCAGAAAGCCACGGCUAACUACGUGCCAGCAGCCGCGGUAAUACGUAGGUGGCAAGCGUUGUCCGGAAUUAUUGGGCGUAAAGGGCUCGCAGGCGGUUCCUUAAGUCUGAUGUGAAAGCCCCCGGCUCAACCGGGGAGGGUCAUUGGAAACUGGGGAACUUGAGUGCAGAAGAGGAGAGUGGAAUUCCACGUGUAGCGGUGAAAUGCGUAGAGAUGUGGAGGAACACCAGUGGCGAAGGCGACUCUCUGGUCUGUAACUGACGCUGAGGAGCGAAAGCGUGGGGAGCGAACAGGAUUAGAUACCCUGGUAGUCCACGCCGUAAACGAUGAGUGCUAAGUGUUAGGGGGUUUCCGCCCCUUAGUGCUGCAGCUAACGCAUUAAGCACUCC